CAAUCUGCAGCCUCUGCCUCUGGCCACUCACCAGACAAGCUCCCUGAAAACUCUCCUCUCAAACACAGAGACAAUGAGACUUUGGUUAUAUCUUGUUCUCAUUGCAGCAGCGUGUGAAGGUGCCCAUUCUCAGGUGCAGCUGGUGGAGUCCGGAGGGGAUGUGAAGAAGCCCGGAGACUCUCUCCGCCUCUCUUGCAAAGCCUCCGGCUUUACCUUCAGCAGCUACUACAUGGGCUGGGUCCGUCAGGCUCCCGGGAAGGGACUGGAGUGGCUCGCCUGGAUUCACGGUUCUAGCAUAUACUACAGUGACUCGGUAAAAGGGCGAUUCACCGUCUCCAGAGAUGACCCCAACAGCCUGCUGUACCUGCAGAUGACGGGCCUGAAGCCCGAGGACACCGCCCGCUAUUACUGUGCGAAAAACACAAUGAGGGGAAUCCCGAUACUGCUAAUACAAAAACUCAAGAGGCAGAAUCUCCUUUCUGCCAUAGGCCGCGAGGGGGCAGCACGUCCACAAACACUCCACCCCUGGGCACAGGAACGGGAUCUACAGCCAGAGCGAAUAAAUCUCUCUCAGCAGGUGUCCAGUCCCAGGUCCAGAUGGUGGAGUCUGGAGGGGCUGUGAAAAAGUCACCUUCGGAGACUACUGGAUGAGCUGGGUCCAUCAGGCUCCUGGCAAGGGCCUGGAGUGGAUCUCUCAUAUAAGCUAUUGGGACAGCAGUACUGUACAUUACUCCAGCUCGGUCCAAGGCCGAUUGACCAGCUUCAGGGACAAUCCCAACAACCUGCUAUAUCUGGAAAUGACCGGCCUGAAAGACACCGCCCGGUAUUACUGUGCGAG
Chelonia mydas (Green sea turtle) is the source of this 838-nucleotide non-coding RNA. The record is from the annotation of a RefSeq genome assembly. Lineage: Eukaryota; Metazoa; Chordata; Testudines; Cheloniidae.